RNAcentral lists this ribosomal RNA (500 nucleotides) under uncultured bacterium. RNAcentral's name for it is "bacterial SSU rRNA". It matches the Rfam family "Bacterial small subunit ribosomal RNA", at positions 10 to 507 of the family's 1533-position model. The record is from RNAcentral.
AGUUUGAUCAUGGCUCAGAUUGAACGCUGGCGGAAUGUUUACACAUGCAAGUCGAACGGUAGAGGGGGCAACCCCUUGAGAGUGGCGAACGGGUGAGUAAUAUAUCGGAACGUGCCCAGUCGUGGGGGAUAACGUAGCGAAAGUUACGCUAAUACCGCAUACGAUCUACGGAUGAAAGCGGGGGGACUCGCAAGAGCCUCGCGCGAUUGGAGCGGCCGAUAUCAGAUUAGGUAGUUGGUGGGGUAAAGGCUCACCAAGCCAACGAUCUGUAGCUGGUCUGAGAGGACGACCAGCCACACUGGAACUGAGACACGGUCCAGACUCCUACGGGAGGCAGCAGUGGGGAAUUUUGGACAAUGGACGCAAGUCUGAUCCAGCCAUUCCGCGUGCAGGAUGAAGGCCCUCGGGUUGUAAACUGCUUUUGUACGGAACGAAAAGGUUUCUAUUAAUACUAGGAGCUCAUGACGGUACCGUAAGAAUAAGCACCGGCUAACUACGUG